This 296-nucleotide signal recognition particle RNA is filed under the name Cebus imitator (Panamanian white-faced capuchin). RNAcentral describes it as "Metazoan signal recognition particle RNA (ENSCCAG00000007209.1)". It matches the Rfam family "Metazoan signal recognition particle RNA". From Rfam's summary of the family: The signal recognition particle (SRP) is a universally conserved ribonucleoprotein. It is involved in the co-translational targeting of proteins to membranes. The record is from RNAcentral. Lineage: Eukaryota; Metazoa; Chordata; Mammalia; Primates; Cebidae.
GCUGGGCACGGUGGCGCGUGCCUGUAGUCCCAGCUACUCGGGAGGCAGAGGCUGGAGGAUUGCUUGAGCCCAGGAGUUCUGGGCUGUAGUGCGCUAUGCCGGUCAGGUGUCCGCACUAAGUUCGGCAUCAAUAUGGUGACUUCCCGGGAGUGGGGGACCACCAGGUUGCCUAAGGAGGGGUGAACCGGCCCAGGUUGGAAACGGAGCAGGUCAAAACUUCUGUGCUGAUCAGUAGUGGGAUCGCGCCUGUGAAUAGCCGCUGCACUCCAGCCUGAGCAACAUAGCGAGACCCUUAU